UUUUUUUUUUUUUUUUUUUUUUUUUUUUUUUUUUUUUUUUUUUUGCUGUUUGUUCUUCUGAAGAAACGGUCA
Molecule: non-coding RNA, 72 nt
Filed under: Alexandrium minutum
Lineage: Eukaryota; Dinophyceae; Gonyaulacales; Pyrocystaceae
Source: RNAcentral